Molecule: ribosomal RNA, 474 nt
Filed under: uncultured bacterium
Lineage: Bacteria
Description: bacterial SSU rRNA
Rfam family: Bacterial small subunit ribosomal RNA
Source: RNAcentral
AGUUUGAUCCUGGCUCAGAGCGAACGCUGGCGGCAGGCUUAACACAUGCAAGUCGAACGGGCGUAGCAAUACGUCAGUGGCAGACGGGUGAGUAACGCGUGGGAACGUACCUUUUGGUUCGGAACAACACAGGGAAACUUGUGCUAAUACCGGAUAAGCCCUUACGGGGAAAGAUUUAUCGCCGAAAGAUCGGCCCGCGUCUGAUUAGCUAGUUGGUGAGGUAACGGCUCACCAAGGCGACGAUGCGUAGCCGACCUGAGAGGGUGAUCGGCCACAUUGGGACUGAGACACGGCCCAGACUCCUACGGGAGGCAGCAGUGGGGAAUAUUGCACAAUGGGGGAAACCCUGAUGCAGCAACGCCGCGUGAGUGAUGACGGCCUUCGGGUUGUAAAGCUCUGUCUUCAGGGACGAUAAUGACGGUACCUGAGGAGGAAGCCACGGCUAACUACGUGCCAGCAGCCGCGGUAAUAAGC